This 103-nucleotide microRNA precursor is filed under the name Marmota monax (woodchuck). Lineage: Eukaryota; Metazoa; Chordata; Mammalia; Rodentia; Sciuridae. The record is from RNAcentral.
AGUGGGAUAACUGGGUCAAAUGGUGGUUCCAUUCCAAGUUUUCUGAGGAAUCUCCAUACUGCUUUCCAGAAUGUUUGCACCAGUUUGCAGUACCACCAGCAAU